CACUAAGAAGCUAAGCAGGGAAUNAGCGAUAGCCUUUUAAGCUGUAGACUGGUGACUCCCAAUCACCCUUAGUGA
Molecule: transfer RNA, 75 nt
Filed under: Xenopus fraseri (Fraser's clawed frog)
Lineage: Eukaryota; Metazoa; Chordata; Amphibia; Anura; Pipidae
Description: tRNA-Lys
Rfam family: tRNA
About the family: Transfer RNA (tRNA) molecules are approximately 80 nucleotides in length. Their secondary structure includes four short double-helical elements and three loops (D, anti-codon, and T loops).
Source: RNAcentral